RNAcentral lists this ribosomal RNA (443 nucleotides) under uncultured Blastomonas sp. Its description in RNAcentral is "bacterial SSU rRNA". It matches the Rfam family "Bacterial small subunit ribosomal RNA", at positions 338 to 798 of the family's 1533-position model. Lineage: Bacteria; Pseudomonadati; Pseudomonadota; Alphaproteobacteria; Sphingomonadales; Blastomonadaceae. The record is from RNAcentral.
CCUACGGGGGGCUGCAGUGGGGAAUAUUGGACAAUGGGCGAAAGCCUGAUCCAGCAAUGCCGCGUGAGUGAUGAAGGCCUUAGGGUUGUAAAGCUCUUUUACCAGGGAUGAUAAUGACAGUACCUGGAGAAUAAGCUCCGGCUAACUCCGUGCCAGCAGCCGCGGUAAUACGGAGGGAGCUAGCGUUGUUCGGAAUUACUGGGCGUAAAGCGCACGUAGCCGGCUACUCAAGUCAGAGGUGAAAGCCCGGGGCUCAACCCCGGAACUGCCUUUGAAACUAGGUAGCUAGAAUCUUGGUGAGGUCAGUGGAAUUCCGAGUGUAGAGGUGAAAUUCGUAGAUAUUCGGAAGAACACCAGUGGCGAAGGCGACUGACUGGACAAGUAUUGACGCUGAGGUGCGAAAGCGUGGGGAGCAAACAGGAUUAGAUACCCCGGUAGUCUAC